Molecule: ribosomal RNA, 490 nt
Filed under: uncultured bacterium
Lineage: Bacteria
Description: partial 16S ribosomal RNA
Rfam family: Bacterial small subunit ribosomal RNA
Source: RNAcentral
AUUGAACGCUGGCGGCAGGCCUAACACAUGCAAGUCGAACGGUAACAGGAAACAGCUUGCUGUUUCGCUGACGAGUGGCGGACGGGUGAGUAAUGUCUGGGAAACUGCCUGAUGGAGGGGGAUAACUACUGGAAACGGUAGCUAAUACCGCAUAACGUCGCAAGACCAAAGAGGGGGACCUUCGGGCCUCUUGCCAUCGGAUGUGCCCAGAUGGGAUUAGCUAGUAGGUGGGGUAACGGCUCACCUAGGCGACGAUCCCUAGCUGGUCUGAGAGGAUGACCAGCCACACUGGAACUGAGACACGGUCCAGACUCCUACGGGAGGCAGCAGUGGGGAAUAUUGCACAAUGGGCGCAAGCCUGAUGCAGCCAGGCCGCGUGUAUGAAGAAGGCCUUCGGGAUGUAAAGUACUUUCAGCGGGGAGGAAGGGAGUAAAGUUAAUACCUUUACUCAUUGACGUUACCCGCAGAAGAAGCACCGGCUAACUCCGUG